UAGGGAAUAUUGCUCAAUGGGGGGAAACCCCUGAAGCAGCAACGCCGCGUGGAGGAUGAAGGUUUUCGGAUUGUAAACUCCUUUUGUUAGAGAAGAUAAUGACGGUAUCUAACGAAUAAGCACCGGCUAACUCCGUGCC
This 139-nucleotide ribosomal RNA is filed under the name uncultured bacterium. RNAcentral describes it as "partial 16S ribosomal RNA". It matches the Rfam family "Bacterial small subunit ribosomal RNA", at positions 355 to 509 of the family's 1533-position model. The record is from RNAcentral.